GUCUCAGUCCCUAACUAGCUCAGUUGAUUAGAGUUUGGUGCUGAUAAUACCAGGAUCGCAGGUUUAAUCCCUGUAUGAGACA
Molecule: non-coding RNA, 82 nt
Organism: Podarcis lilfordi (Lilford's wall lizard)
Lineage: Eukaryota; Metazoa; Chordata; Lepidosauria; Squamata; Lacertidae
Source: the annotation of a GenBank genome assembly